This 771-nucleotide ribosomal RNA is filed under the name Drosophila arizonae. Its description in RNAcentral is "partial 16S ribosomal RNA". Lineage: Eukaryota; Metazoa; Arthropoda; Insecta; Diptera; Drosophilidae. The record is from RNAcentral.
AUUAUGCUACCUUUGCACAGUUAGAAUACUGCGGCCAUUUAAAAUUUCAGUGGGCAGGUUAGACUUUAAAUUUAAUUCAAAAAGACAUGUUUUUGUUAAACAGGCGGAUAUUAUUUUUGCCGAAUUCUUUACAUAAACUUUUCAUUUUAAUUUAUUUAUACAAUAAAAUAUACUAAUUUUAUCAUUAUUACUUAAUUUUAAAAAUUAAAAUUAAUAUUUCAAUAAAUAAUUAAAAUAUAAUAAAUAAUUUACCACAUAAAAUAAAUUAUAACAUAAUUUCAAACAUUUGCUAAUUCUAAGCAUAUAUUUAUUAAAUUUAUUUAUUAUUUAUAAAAAUUUAUUUUAUAGCUUAUCCCAUAAAAUAUUAAAUUUAUAAAUUAUUAAAUUAAAAAAUCUAUUUAAUAAAUUUAUAAAUUCUGAAUUAAAUUCAUUUCUUGAAAAACUAGAUACCUUUAAAAACGAAUAACAUUUCAUUUCUAAUAUAAUAUUAAAAAUAAUUUUAUCACAUUAACUUUUAUAUUAUAUUAACUCUUUUAAAAUCGAGAAAAAUAUUUUUUAUAUUUUUUAUUUAAUAAACACUGAUACACAAGGUACAAUAAAUUAAAUUUUCUUUUAAAAUAAUAAUUUUUCAAAUUAUUUCAAUUUUCUUUUACAAUACUAUUAAACUAUAAUUAAAUUUAUUUUUUCUUUAAACAAUACUAAAACUUUUUAUUAUAAAAUUAUUUUUAAUAUUUUACAAAAAAAUUAAUAAAAUUAAUAAAUAAAAUCUAA